UCCUUUUCUAAUUUUAAAUCCAAAUUCCGAAGGAUUUGGUUCCAAACAGAGCGUAAGGAAUCGAAUGAGUUCACUAGUGCUAGCUAUUUUGAGUCUCUGCGCUAUUCAUGGUUUGCAAAAGCUAACUGUGUUCAUCACUUUUCGACAAGACUCUGAACAACUUAUUUUUAAUCUCACGGACGCAAAAUGGCGUUUCUGUAGCGAGAAGAGCUACAAUGCCACAGACCGUUGGUUCGGUCUCCGAUCAACCCUCAGACUCCUAUAAUCCCACACCAAUGAACAUUGACGGCGAACAACGCGAAGAAGAAGGGGUUUGCACUGAAGCAAUUGCACAAAGAGACGCUUCGCCUGUGUCGAAGAAUGCGGAGGAGUCCGAAGGUCAAACGAAAACUGGCAAAAAGAGAGACUUGAGCGAGUAUAAUCUGAAUGGACUGAAAUGUCCAAUCUGUAUGGACCUAUGGACAUCUCAAGGCGAUCAUCAAGUUUGUUGUCUUCCCUGUGGACAUAUAUUUGGUAUGUCAUGCAUCAAUAGAUGGAUUCUGCACCGAGGUGGACAUUCUGCCAAGUGCCCUCAAUGCAAUGCAAAGAUUAAUAUGAAGGAUGUUACGAGGCUGUAUGCAUCACCAGUAAUUAUGGUUGAUGAAGACUUACACAAGAAAAUUGAAUCUCUUGAGGCUGAAAAUACGUAUCUCAAAACUGAGAAAGCUAAUUUAAUUGGUUUACAAGAUAGUUUGCUGAAAGAACUGUGCCAUCUCAAGGAGAAGUCAGCUUUAGGGGCUUCAGUAGUCAUGGGGAGAAAUGGAUUUAAUACCUCAGAAGUGUUGCAGAAAGGACAAUCUGGACUUAAUUUUGGCACGAAUAUCAGCAGAUGGGGAUCUUUUCACUGCAAAUUUGUAUUGGAGCUUGAGAUGGCAGUAGACAAUGCACGCCUUUUUGAUAUGGAUGCCCAUAAUCGAACUCUAAUUGUUGCUCGAAGGAUUUCUGGGAUGGGUGGGACACAUAUGCUCAACAAGAUCAACUUGAUCAAUCCUAAUGAAAAUGAAGACAUAGAGCUUCCUUCAAGUAUGAAAGCUGUUAAAGAUCUACGUGUUUCCCCUUGUAGUAGACUUGCACUCUUAGCUUCACUUGGGAAAAAAUUAUCGGUUCUGAGCAUGGGUGGCAACAAUGUUAUUAUCAGUUAUGAUUUACCGGCACCAGCAUGGUCUUGCUCAUGGGAUCUCAACAGUCCUCAUUAUAUGUAUGCUGGAUUACAGAAUGGUAAACUUUUGGUGUUUGAUAUGCGUCAGACUAUACUUCCUGUUAAAUCCAUUGAUGGACUGACCUCACAUCCAAUUCAUACCAUACACUCUUUUGAGCAUGACCCUGCUCUUCCUCACAUUUCUACGAGGCUCCUUACAGCAUCUUCCAUUGGCCCAUGUGUGUGGAACAAUAUUAGUGCCAGAGAAAGGCCAUUUCUGGUCCCCGAAUUAGAGAAUCAAGGCAGGUGUAUAUCACUUGCUUACAGCCCCUCAAGUGAUGACAUUCUUGCUACAUACCGUCCUGGAUUACCUAUAUCCAAUGAAACUGGCAGUUUACAACCACAUUCACUUGCUGCACAUGAACAAGGAACACUGUGUUCUCAGAUUCUUGUCAAGAGAGUGGCUGGUAGCUUUUAUCAUAAAUUAGCGUCUACAUCUGCACAUGUGGGUGAUGCUUUAUUGACAAAGUCUGCCAUUAUAAAUGUUGAGAAUUGCUUCCCACUGUUUGCUUGUGGAGAUGAUGUAACAUGUGGAUUAAGAUUGCGGGAAUUGCCAAGUUUAACUGUAAGCCAGGCUCUUAAACCACAUCAGUAUCCCAUUCUUGAUGUGAAAUAUGCACAGUUGCAUAGCUCCGGUAUACUAGGUUGCAUAAGUGAAGACAAAUUGCAACUUUUUUCUGCAAAGAUUUCGUGAGAAAGGGCGGUCGCAGCUUUUUGAAGUGCUGUUCAGCUAUAUACCGUACAUGUUUUUGACCUGGCACUAAUUUUUGCUUGGGUAUGAGAAUUCAGGACAAGGAAGAAGUUUUGCUUAAUUGUUACCGGUCUUGUGCUAGAAGAGUGGCCGACUCCUACCACUUUGGAUGAGACAUCUUCACAAUGUUUAAAUUGUUCUAACUAGUAAGAAUUUUCUAAAACCUUCACCAUCCCUGUUCCACCCUUAAUAUAUAUACGAAACAAGUGCAGAAAACACCCUUAAAUUAUACUUUGCAUAACACUUUUAUCCUUUAUUUAAAAAAGUGUACAAAAAACACUCAUAAUCUUUUCAUAUUGUGCAAAAAAAAGGGGGUAUAUAUGCUACUAAUAUCAUAGUAUAGGGGUGUUAUGUACACAUUACCUUAUAUAUAUAUAUUUUUUGAAACUUUUUUCUCUAUAUAUAUUUCUAAACUAUAUUUUUUUAAAAAAACUUUGAGAAUUUGUAGAACAAAGAUUUGAAUUUUUUGAGAUUUCAGUUUUCUCUUUUUCUAUUAAAAUUUGUUUUUCUUUAUUUUAUUUUAUUUUGUACCAAACAUUGUUAAAAAAAAAAAAAAUUCCCAAUAUUAGUGUGUACUGGUUUUUGGUUCAGCUUUAUUUUCUUUAGUUUGCACUUAAUUUUAAUUUUUUUUCUUACCGAUACUGUUAAAAAAAAAAAAAAAUUCAAUAUCAGUGUGUACUGGUUUUCGAACCAGAUUUGUUUUCUUUAGUUUGCACUUUAUUUUUGUUUUUUAUUUUUUAUUUUUAUCUUUAUAUUUCUUCUAUACUUUUAAUUUUAUUUAUUUUCUUUACUUGUCCAUUGUCGGCCUCCUCCAAUUGUAUUAUUUUCGGUCAUUUUAUAAAAUUAUUUAAUUUUAAGUAUUUUAUACAAUGGUGUUCAGUAAGGGUAAUUUAGUCAACAUAGAGUUUAAAUUUGUUUGAGGGAUCUAUUUGCAUCAAAUUGAAAGUUUAGGGUUGUUUUUGCACGCGUGGAAUAUCCUUCAAUAGUGUCAUUUUCGGUUAUUUUACAAAAUUAUUUAUUUUUAUAAAAUGGUUCAGUGAGUGUAAUUUAGUCAACUCAGUGUUUAAAUUUGUUAGAGGAACUUAUUUGCACCAUAUUGAAAUUUUAGAGGUUUUUUUGGCACAUGAGGGGUGUGAUAUGCACUGUAAGCAUAUUUUAAGAGUGUUUUUUUGUACUUGAUCCAUAUAUAUAUAUAUUAUAUUGAGCCAAGAUUGAAGAACAAUGUUGUAGUCCAAUGGUAUGAUCAAUCCUACCCAAAGGGGAGAUUAAGAUUUCAAGUAUCAUGAGAGGGACGUAUUGUGGAUAAUGGGUGUGCGCUGUCAUCUCUGAUCCAAAUGUGAGGUCUUAUUUUUAUUUAAGCUACAUUAAUAGAAUUUUUCGUUGUCAUUGGGAACUCCGCUUUGAGCAUUUGUACCUCUUAACUUUUAUUCUACCAUUUUAAUUGUGGACUGCAA
This is an RNA transcript of Cornus florida, 3442 nucleotides long. RefSeq lists it as uncharacterized. Lineage: Eukaryota; Viridiplantae; Streptophyta; Magnoliopsida; Cornales; Cornaceae. The transcript has 15 exons. The record is from RefSeq and is a predicted model, not a curated record.